This is a non-coding RNA of Canis lupus familiaris (dog), 145 nucleotides long. The record is from RefSeq and is marked provisional. Lineage: Eukaryota; Metazoa; Chordata; Mammalia; Carnivora; Canidae.
CCUGAGUCGGAUGUAUCUUAGGACAGAGCCCUCUGUGCUGCCCUGUGCUGUAGAAGCUUCCCUGCGGGGGAAGAGGGCUCCCUGCGGAAUAGGCUUGUCAGGAGCAGCUCCCAGGGCAGCAAGGGGUUGAUUUCACACUCAGCCU